This 207-nucleotide ribosomal RNA is filed under the name uncultured bacterium. RNAcentral describes it as "partial 16S ribosomal RNA". It matches the Rfam family "Bacterial small subunit ribosomal RNA", at positions 568 to 774 of the family's 1533-position model. The record is from RNAcentral.
CAUGUAGGCGGUUGUUUAAGUCUGAUAUGAAAGCCCUGGGCUCAACCCAGGAAGUGCAUUGGAUACUGGGCAACUUGAGUACGGGAGAGGAAAGUGGAAUUUCGAGUGUAGGGGUGAAAUCCGUAGAUAUUCGAAGGAACACCAGUGGCGAAGGCGGCUUUCUGGACCGAUACUGACGCUGAGAUGCGAAAGCGUGGGGAGCAAACA